This is a long non-coding RNA of Numida meleagris (helmeted guineafowl), 557 nucleotides long. RefSeq lists it as uncharacterized. The transcript has 3 exons. The record is from RefSeq and is a predicted model, not a curated record. Lineage: Eukaryota; Metazoa; Chordata; Aves; Galliformes; Numididae.
UGCGGCCAGAAGGGGUGGAGCCAGGCUCCACCCCUCUUAGGCCUCAUUUAAGGGCUGACUGCCUCUGAGGAAGGGUUUCUUCCUGGAGAUCCAUCCUUGGUGGGAGCCUUUUCCUCCAAGUAUAACAUCUUCUGAUCUGGAACAGUACAAUUCCUCAGUCUCUCCAGAACACCUAGUUCUGUCAGAUGUUUAUGGAAGGUGUGGAACUUCUACGCAGUGUCAUCUCCAGCUGCCUCCCAGCCCUCUUCUCCUAUCCCCCUCCUAAAGACUAAAAAGUAUCAAAUGCAAUUUUUGCGGAUGAGAAGCGUCCCUGUGUGACCAGGCUACUUCAUGGAGCACUCUUGCUCAUGAUGAGGUCUAAUUCCAAAUUGAAAAGCAAAAUUACUUUCGUACUCUGCUCUCCUUUGCCUCUCUGCUUUAAGAGUUAAUUGCCCCCUUGCACUUCUGCAGCUUCUUCCUUAGCUAAAAAGAAUAAAAAUACUUAAUUACUGUAUAAACUCAAUUUCUUUUCUUUUUGGGUUUGACUAUUUGUGAAUUUCCUUUCUUGCUUGAUGUAU